Long non-coding RNA from Malus domestica (apple), 829 nucleotides. RefSeq lists it as uncharacterized. The record is from RefSeq and is a predicted model, not a curated record. NCBI's taxonomy places the organism in Eukaryota, Viridiplantae, Streptophyta, Magnoliopsida, Rosales, Rosaceae.
UCCUCCGAUUUCCGUUCGAUUGUUUGGGUUUUGUGGUUUUUGUUUUCUUUGCUCUCUAUCUCCCUAUUACCUCUGUUGGUUUCUGUUGUUGUUGAUCUUUGUUCUCUCAUGUUCUAUUUGAACACAGAAAAACAACCACACAGGCCUUGGCCUUUUGCAUUGAGUAUUUUGCUAUUCUUUUUGGUGAUGUAGUUGUUUGAUAUGAUUUCAUUUUUUUUCUUCAGGAAACGUUGCUGAUUGAAUUUUAGGGGUUUUGUAUAGAAGUUUGCAUGCCCGUUCUGAUUAAGCAUGCCAGAGAUGAUUUAAAACAUUUUAUGGUGGACAAUCAAUUGGAAACAACUUCAAAUGGGAAGUUUUCGCAAGGGACGCAUGCAAGUGGGGUUAUGCCUGAUGCUGAUGGAGAAUGCUUUUUGGAAUUCCAUUAAGGGAAAUUUUGGGUCUUAUUGAAGAAAUUUUAAACCCAGAAAGCUUGGGUUUCGUGGUGGACUAUGCCAUUUGAGAAACUAUGAUAUUCUACUCAAACGCUCUCAACGAAUACCCGCUAUCUCCCUCUCUCUCAUGAUAAUUGAUGCGGAGUACCAGACCCAGAGAAGUUGAGAAUCUAGACCUCCCAAACUUGGUCUCCCUUCUCGGCUGUGGAGUAUCAACCGGUACACUUGAACUUCCCAAAUUAUGUUGAAAUAUUUGAGAAAUGUAGAGUAAACAAAAGAGAAAAGGAAUUUUAGAGAGAGUGAUAUAAUAGUUGCUCUGUAAUUGUAAGAAUGAAUUAACUAUUCAACAGAGAGAGAGUUAACAAUUUAUACAACAACUAAUCACCUUGCUUGGCUCU